This 317-nucleotide ribosomal RNA is filed under the name Macronychus glabratus. RNAcentral's name for it is "partial small subunit ribosomal RNA". Lineage: Eukaryota; Metazoa; Arthropoda; Insecta; Coleoptera; Elmidae. The record is from RNAcentral.
UUUAGUAUUAGUUAUUUUCUUGAAAAUUAAAGAUUUUGGCGGUAUUUUAUUCUGUUCAAAGGAACCUGCUCUGUCAUUGAUAGUCCACAAUUAACUUUACUUGAAUAGUUUGUAUAUCGUCGUUUUUGAAUAUUUUAUAAGGAUUUGAAUGUUCAAUUAUUUAAGUAAAAAUUUAAGUCAAAUCAGGGUGCACCUUAUACUUAAAAAAAAUGGGGUUACAAUAAAUAUAUUUAAAUGGUUUAUAAUUUGAAAUCAUUAUAAUAAAGUGGGAGGGUAAUAUUUUUAAUUAAAUAAUAUGAUUUUACCUCUAAAAUAUG